Molecule: ribosomal RNA, 114 nt
Organism: Kwoniella shivajii
Lineage: Eukaryota; Fungi; Basidiomycota; Tremellomycetes; Tremellales; Cryptococcaceae
Source: RefSeq, a predicted model, not a curated record
UACGGUCAUAGAUUGAAGAAAGUUCCGCAUCCCGUUCGCUCUGCGCAGACAAGCUUCAGAUCGCUCAGCCAGUACCAUCGCGGGAGACCAGAUGUGAAUCUUGAGGGCUGUGGU